CGGACCGGAGCGUCCCUCUCCGCGGAACCGACGACACUCCCCGGUUGCCAAGGGAGAUCACGUGACGGGGCUGGUUUCCUCUUUCAAAGCCCUGGAGCCGCGGGCACGCGGAGCUCGCGCACGCGUGGAACACCUUGACUCAGAAUCAUCGAACACCUGAGGAACUGCGAUUCACAGACUAACUUCACCGCCGUGAAAGCAGAGAGGCCAGAAUGGCGGCAGGAAGGAGCCUCAGACCCCUGCAGGUCCUCUGUGGCCCUCUUGUGGUGGAGAUGAGAACUACAUGUUCACCAGGAUUUGAUUUCUUCUCUAAAACAUAAGAAAUCUAAGAUAACCAUGAAAACAUUUGAAGUU
Molecule: long non-coding RNA, 354 nt
Organism: Oryzias melastigma (Indian medaka)
Lineage: Eukaryota; Metazoa; Chordata; Actinopteri; Beloniformes; Adrianichthyidae
Exons: 3
Source: RefSeq, a predicted model, not a curated record